UAUCAGUUAUAUUAUCGUUUCUGGGCCCAGUACUAUACUUUUCAAAAUAACCACCUUAUUGAGGUAGCUUUCAAUGUGAUCCUCUAUUUCAGCUAUUGGAUUUGAUAUUGGCUCGGUUAUGCAGGUUAACUCAUUCUUUACGAUCUGAGGGUAUCCUAAUCCUUUUCCACCUAACCUUUAUACACAUAAAUUAUCCUGAUCAACAUAU
This 208-nucleotide long non-coding RNA is filed under the name Panax ginseng (ginseng). Its description in RNAcentral is "long non-coding RNA (PGIN_LNC017366)". Lineage: Eukaryota; Viridiplantae; Streptophyta; Magnoliopsida; Apiales; Araliaceae. The record is from RNAcentral.